Molecule: ribosomal RNA, 580 nt
Filed under: bacterium 18BL
Lineage: Bacteria
Description: bacterial SSU rRNA
Rfam family: Bacterial small subunit ribosomal RNA
Source: RNAcentral
GCUUGCACCCGGUACUCGAGUGGCGAACGGGUGAGUAACACGUGGGUGAUCUGCCCUGCACUUCGGGAUAAGCCUGGGAAACUGGGUCUAAUACCGGAUAGGACCAUUGGUUGGUACUGGUGGUGGAAAGUUUUUCGGUGCAGGAUGAGCUCGCGGCCUAUCAGCUUGUUGGUGGGGUAAUGGCCUACCAAGGCGGCGACGGGUAGCCGGCCUGAGAGGGUGGACGGCCACAUUGGGACUGAGACACGGCCCAGACUCCUACGGGAGGCAGCAGUGGGGAAUAUUGCACAAUGGGCGCAAGCCUGAUGCAGCGACGCCGCGUGGGGGAUGACGGCCUUCGGGUUGUAAACUCCUUUCAACCAUGACGAAGCUUUUGUGACGGUAGUGGUAGAAGAAGCACCGGCUAACUACGUGCCAGCAGCCGCGGUAAUACGUAGGGUGCGAGCGUUGUCCGGAAUUACUGGGCGUAAAGAGCUCGUAGGUGGUUUGUCGCGUCGUCUGUGAAAUUCCGGGGCUCAACUCCGGGCGUGCAGGCGAUACGGGCAUAACUUGAGUGCUGUAGGGGAGACUGGAAUUCCUG